AGGACGACGCUGGCGGCGUGCCUAAUACAUGCAAGUCGAACGGCUUUUCUAUGGAAGCUUGCUUCCACUGAGAAGAUAGUGGCGAACGGGUGAGUAACACGUGGGUAACCUGCCCAUAAGAGGGGGAUAACAUCCGGAAACGGGUGCUAAUACCGCAUAGUUUUCUUGAUCGCAUGAUCGGGAAAGGAAAGACGGCCUUUGUGCUGUCGCUUAUGGAUGGACCCGCGGCGUAUUAGUUAGUUGGUGAGGUAACGGCUCACCAAGACGAUGAUACGUAGCCGACCUGAGAGGGUGAUCGGCCACAUUGGGACUGAGACACGGCCCAAACUCCUACGGGAGGCAGCAGUAGGGAAUCUUCCGCAAUGGACGAAAGUCUGACGGAGCAACGCCGCGUGAGUGAAGAAAGGUUUUCGGAUCGUAAAACUCUGUUGUCAGAGAAGAACAAGUUGGAGAGUAACUGCUCCAGCCUUGACGGUAUCUGACCAGAAAGCCACGGCUAACUACGUGCCAGCAGCGGC
RNAcentral lists this ribosomal RNA (518 nucleotides) under uncultured bacterium. Its description in RNAcentral is "bacterial SSU rRNA". It matches the Rfam family "Bacterial small subunit ribosomal RNA", at positions 32 to 518 of the family's 1533-position model. The record is from RNAcentral.